AAAAGAUACUGAUUUCUUUAUUUUCCUUGUUCUCUGAAUGUAGAGAUAACUAAUAACUUACAAAGUUUAUAUUGGUGUUUCUCUGGGUCUUUUGCGUUGAAAUCUUUCCUCUGACUCUUGCUGCCUUUCCCAAGUAUGUCUUUAAAGACUGACAUUAGAGAAGCUUGUAUUUUUGCUGAGUAGUCUUGGACCAGAUUUUGACAUACUCUAAAAACUUUUAAAAGUUCCAGCCACCAAGUUAAACACGAUGAGCAAAACCAGCCUUGGCCAGAGCAUGAGCAAGUAUGACCUCCUGGUUUGGUUUGAGAUCAGUGAACUGGAGCCUACAGGAGAGUAUAUCCCAGCUGUGGUUGACCAUACAGCAGGCUUGCCUUGCCAGGGGACAUUUUUGCUUCAUCAGGGCAUCCAGCGAAGGAUCACAGUGACCAUUAUCCAUGAGAAGGGGAGCGAGCUCCAUUGGAAAGAUGUUCGUGAACUGGUGGUAGGUCGUAUUCGGAAUAAGCCUGAGGUGGAUGAAGCUGCAGUUGAUGCCAUCCUCUCCCUAAAUAUUAUUUCUGCCAAGUACCUGAAGUCUUCCCACAACUCUAGCAGGACCUUCUACCGCUUUGAGGCUGUGUGGGAUAGCUCUCUGCAUAACUCCCUUCUUCUGAACCGAGUGACACCCUAUGGAGAAAAGAUCUACAUGACCUUGUCAGCCUACCUAGAGCUGGAUCAUUGCAUCCAGCCGGCUGUCAUCACCAAGGAUGUGUGCAUGGUCUUCUACUCCCGAGAUGCCAAGAUCUCACCACCACGCUCUCUGCGUAGCCUCUUUGGCAGUGGCUACUCAAAGUCACCAGAUU
Molecule: small RNA, 839 nt
Filed under: Pongo abelii (Sumatran orangutan)
Lineage: Eukaryota; Metazoa; Chordata; Mammalia; Primates; Hominidae
Description: retained intron
Source: RNAcentral